GUGAAAUUGUUGAAAGGGAAACGAUUGAAGCCAGUCGUACCUGCGGGUAAUCAGCCUUUUGGGUGUGAUUAUGUGGAGCGUGAGGAGCUAAACACCCUCAUCUUUGCAUAUUCGUGCACUUUGGGUGUACUUGCUCGUGUGGUAGGUUAACAUCAAUUUUGAUCGUCAUAAAAUGGCUAGAGGAAUGUAGCUUCGAUCCCGUAUUGAAGUGUUAUAGCCUUUGGUAGAUGUGAUGAUUAGGAUUGAGGAUUGCAACGGAUACCCUUCGGGGCUACCUGUCUGAUCUCUGAUACGUUGCCUUGAUGUUGAAAGCUUGCUUAUGAUGUUAGGGUAUUACGGUCAAAAGGUUAGAACGAAUUACAUUCGUUAAGGAUGUUGACGUAAUGGCUUUAAACGAC
This 398-nucleotide ribosomal RNA is filed under the name uncultured Rhizophagus. Its description in RNAcentral is "partial 28S ribosomal RNA". Lineage: Eukaryota; Fungi; Glomeromycota; Glomeromycetes; Glomerales; Glomeraceae. The record is from RNAcentral.